RNAcentral lists this ribosomal RNA (464 nucleotides) under uncultured bacterium. RNAcentral describes it as "partial 16S ribosomal RNA". It matches the Rfam family "Bacterial small subunit ribosomal RNA", at positions 29 to 507 of the family's 1533-position model. The record is from RNAcentral.
ACGAACGCUGGCGGCGUGCUUAACACAUGCCAGUCGAACGGAAAGGCCCCUUUGGGGGUACUCGAGUGGCGAACGGGUGAGUAACACGUGAGUAACCUGCCCUUGACUUCGGGAUAACUUCAGGAAACUGGGGCUAAUACCGGAUAGGAAUCCUUGCCGCAUGGUGGGGGUUGGAAAGCUUCGGCGGUUUUGGAUGGACUCGCGGCUUAUCAGCUUGUUGGUGGGGUAGUGGCUUACCAAGGCUUUGACGGGUAGCCGGCCAGGGAGGGCGACCGGCCACAUUGGGACUGAGAGACGGCACAGACGCCGACGGGAGGCAGCAGUGGGGAAUAUUGCACAAUGGGCGGAAGCCGGAUGCAGCAACGCCGCGUGCGGGAUGACGGCCUUCGGGUUGAAAACCGCUUUCAGCAGGGGCGAAGCUUGUGGUGACGGUACCUGCAGAAGAAGCACCGGCUAACUACGUG